RNAcentral lists this long non-coding RNA (1441 nucleotides) under Struthio camelus australis. RNAcentral describes it as "lncRNA (ENSSCUG00000008588.1)". The record is from RNAcentral. Lineage: Eukaryota; Metazoa; Chordata; Aves; Struthioniformes; Struthionidae.
GUUUGGGACAACGACAGUCUUUUACUGGCUAGCUGCACUUGUUCUUUCUAAACCAGUAAUUCCAGAUUUAGAGUCUCAACACUUUGUCACUUUUUAUUUGUGACUCCUAAAGGAAUGCCCAAGGGGAAUUUGAUUUCAGAAGUGACGCUCACAGCUGGAACAGAAGUGAGGGCUUGCAAGUGAGGGAUUAUGACUAAAAAUGGGGUUGUGGUUCCAUAAACACCAUUAGCAGGUGUUCUUCUUCCAUAUUGCUACUUUUCAGACACAGAAACAGCUCCUAUUUCAGCUAAUUGUCUUUCAGAAGUAUAUUUUGAGAAACGAAACCAAGCCUAUGAUCAAGGAUGCACAGAAUCGAAAGCCACUCUCUCCUCACAGCUCAGAUGUGAAAUCAAUUCCCCCGCAACAUGGACUUGUCAAGUUUAGCUAAAUACUCUUCCAGAAAUUCAUUGCUCGAAGUCACUCUCAUCAGGAAAUCAAACCUUCUUAAAAGUAGUUCCUAUUUGGACUGCUUUUGGCUGUUUCACUGUGCCAAUGACAUUCAUUACAACCAACCACAGUUACCAGGUACAACCACCAGUGAUUUCUUCAUCACUCUUUGUAGCAAGAACUCUGCACUCUUGUUUUUGGUGACCUAAGGAUAAACAUUGAGGACAAAAAAAGAUGUCGUGAUGGAGAAAUCUUCAGAAAAUGACUGAAACACCUUCUCUCUACAGUCUCACCAAUGUAAUUUACCUUGCAUGUGACUUGGCCUUAGUUAUCCUCCUUUAGUUUGUCCAGCAAUUUCACACUGCUGUGAAAAUUUCUUUUGGGAAGGUGUGCUCUAAAGGAACUCUAAAAAUUCUGCAAAUUAAUUUUUUACAAACAUCCUCUUUAGCACAUAAGUGUUCUGAGUAUUUUUUGUUUCCCAAAACUCAAUUUGUUCAAUUUUAUUAUGCUCUGGCUACUAUCACAAAGCAGCAACUAUGCCUUACCCCCUGCACCUGCUUAACUAAAAUAAUUAAAGAAGAGUCUGUGUUUCAUUUCGCUACUAGCUUUAUCUGGAUCCAUUCGCUUGCAAUUUUACAUGCUUUGUCUUAUGCUAUGGUGAGAUUAAUCCAUGGAACUUGGAGACAAUAAUCAGUUCAAAAUGAUUAAGGCGGUUUGAACUAGCUUUGACAUUUAUGCAUGUUGGCUAGAAAUGAAAAAUGUUACUGAGGGUAUCUUUAUAUCUCUAAUUUGUGAUUGUAUUAGUUGUACCAUUUUUGUUAUGAAUCUUUUGUCUUUUAAUUGUUCACAAACUGUUCAUUGAUAUCAUUCAAUAUUUGAAAUGUACAAAUUCACACUCCAUAUUUACACUGUAGUUCGAUAGAGAUACAUAAAACUCUACAAAUAGUUUUCACUAUGGAUAUCAUAUUUAUCCGUUCUAAAUAAACUUUCAACAAAUAGCCUUUUACUUUUUUUC